Vitis vinifera (wine grape) is the source of this 733-nucleotide long non-coding RNA. RefSeq lists it as uncharacterized. The transcript has 3 exons. The record is from RefSeq and is a predicted model, not a curated record. NCBI's taxonomy places the organism in Eukaryota, Viridiplantae, Streptophyta, Magnoliopsida, Vitales, Vitaceae.
AAACAAAAAAUGACAUGCAGACUUGAUCGGCUGAUCCUGUGGGGCCAGUUACUGUAUCCAAGGAGGGAGGUCAAUCCAUCACAACCAAUUCGGGUUAAGAAGCCCAUUUGAUCGGAUUCGGGUGGGAUCCGAAACAACCUAUUUCCAAGCAGAAGGUUCUCGAGCGUUGGCUGCAUCAUCAGAUUCGUCCUCAUCAGAAGUGAGUCUUGCUCGGUCAUCGUCUUCUUGUUGAUCCUAAAAACUCAGGAGGCAGAUAGUAUCAUCAGAUGGCUAUGAGAUAUACUGUGAGUCAAAUCAGACUUAAUCGUUUCAUGGAAGGUUAUAGGAGAAGUGCUCCUCGCUACUUCAGCGAUGACAAAGGCAGGGUUCUGAGCGAGGAAGAACGAGCUGCUGAGAACGUUUACAUCCAGAAAAUGGAGAGAGAGAGGAUGGAGAAACUGAAGCGUAAGGCGGAGAAGGAAAAGGCAGCUGCAGAGAAAGAGAAAGCCGAGAAGAAGGCUGAAGAAGGUACCCACAAGGGCUGACAUGGUCAAUCUUUGCUUACUGCUGAACUCUUCUUGGAGGCAGCUAUGAGGAAUAAAUGUAUAUAACAUACAUAAACUCUUGAUGAGACUUGGCUUUUGUAAGGAGUUGGAUGCUACUGGUUUUGUCUCAUAAACAGUAAUAAUCUUAACUGUUAACAGGUGCUGUCCUUCGAGCCUUUACCUUAAUUACCUUGUUCUGUUUUUCAUUA